GAUGAACGCUAGCGGCAGGCUUAAUACAUGCAAGUCGUGGGGCAGCAGGACUGUAGCAAUACAGUUGCUGGCGACCGGCAAACGGGUGCGGAACACGUACGCAACUUACCCUGAACUGGGGGAUAGCCCGGGGAAACCCGGAUUAAUACCCCGUAAUAUAAUGGAGUGGCAUCACUUUAUUAUUAAAGCUCCGGCGGUUCGGGAUGGGCGUGCGGCUGAUUAGGUAGUUGGUUGAGGUAACGGCUCACCAAGCCUACGAUCAGUAACUGGUGUGAGAGCACGACCAGUCACACGGGAACUGAGACACGGGCCCGACUCCUACGGGAGGCAGCAGUAAGGAAUAUUGGGCAAUGGAGGCAACUCUGACCCAGCCAUGCCGCGUGGAGGAUGAAGGCCCUCUGGGUUGUAAACUUCUUUUAUAGGGGAAGAAACCUGUGUAUUCUUACGCAGUUGACGGUACCCUAGGAAUAAGCACCGGCUAACUCCGUG
This 489-nucleotide ribosomal RNA is filed under the name uncultured bacterium. Its description in RNAcentral is "partial 16S ribosomal RNA". It matches the Rfam family "Bacterial small subunit ribosomal RNA", at positions 28 to 507 of the family's 1533-position model. The record is from RNAcentral.